This 934-nucleotide long non-coding RNA is filed under the name Gadus morhua (Atlantic cod). RNAcentral describes it as "lncRNA (ENSGMOG00000026169.1)". Lineage: Eukaryota; Metazoa; Chordata; Actinopteri; Gadiformes; Gadidae. The record is from RNAcentral.
GCUCCCAGCGUGGUCGGGUGAAGCAUCAAGAAGAUGCCGGAACUCCACCAAUUCCUGAUGGAGCGCUGGGCACUGUACCAUAACCUGGAGUAUGAUUCCUCGGAGGAGAAGGAGCCCCGUCUGAUCUUCUACGAUGACAGGGACGAGGUGGUGCAGUCGGUCCCUGUGAAAGAGAUGACAGCGGACGCCAUCGGCCAGCUGCUGGAGGCCCGCGGAUUCUACAGGAGGAGCCAGAAGGGAGAGGAGGUUCCCGAGGAGUUCCAGAACUUCCCCCUGCACGCCCCCAGAGACGAGCUCUGAGGACCCCUAGUGGCCGCGGACCGCUGCUGCAGCCCUGUCGCUUAAUGACGAGUGGGGCUCCAAGGCUCAACUGUCAGCCCGGCCCCACUCCGAUAACCCCUCGACAGGCUGCGCAGUCCGAACUCCGUCCCCCACCUCAAAAAUAUAAAUUGUGAAAAAUAUGUGGUGUUAUGAUAAUAAAUAUUUGAAUUGGCUCCAUUGAAAGAAUGUUUUUUUUUCCAAUUUCCAAUAUAGGCUCAUUAUCCCGAUGCUACUAUUGUUAAGAGAUUUUUAUAAAAACAAUAAAUAUGGGGACAAAAUAUAAAGAGGAAUUUUGGGGGCCCCCAAAAGGCCUAUUAGGCCUGGGGCUCCAGGCAAUGCCUGGUUUGCCUAAUAGUACGGCCCGCCUCUGCAUGCCUAUAUCUUACACCUUUCCUUCUCUUUGGCUCCCAGACCGUAGUCGGGGAGAACAGGGGACACGUUCCCCCCAGGGCCGAUGUCCUUUCGGGUGUAACACCCUUCACGAAGGAGCAAGAAGCAACGGACCGUAGGCUACUAAUCGCCCUAUCCAUUGUAUGGGUCUGUAAAAUGCUAAUCUAAUCUAAUCAAAUCAAAUGUAUUUAUUAAGCACCUUUAAUAAAAAGGGAAUUGGUUG